CCCUUAGAUGUUCUGGGCCGCACACGCGCUACACUGAAGGAGGCAGCGUGUACUCCUGGAUCGAAAGAUUUGGGUAACCCGCGAAUCUCCUUCGUGCUAGGGAUUGAGGUUUGCAAUUAUCCUUCAUGAACGAGGAAUUCCCAGUAAGUGCAAGUCAUAAGCUUGCGCUGACUACGUCCCUGCCCUUUGUACACACCGCCCGUCGCUACUACCGAUGGAAUGAUUUAGUGAGGACUUCGGACUGGGACCGAUGCGGCUUUCGGGCUGCGUCGGUAUUCUGGAAAGAUGUCCAAACUGUAUCAUUUAGAGGAAGUAAAAGUCGUAACA
This 327-nucleotide ribosomal RNA is filed under the name uncultured eukaryote. Its description in RNAcentral is "partial 18S ribosomal RNA". It matches the Rfam family "Eukaryotic small subunit ribosomal RNA", at positions 1470 to 1796 of the family's 1831-position model. The record is from RNAcentral.